CCUUCACACGCAAAACUCAGCUUUUCCUCUUUCCUUGUUCACGUCAGAGUUGGACAGAGAAAAAGGGAGCCUCGUUCAGCUCUUCCCCUCCACGUUUCCAUCAUGCAAAGGGCAACUCCUCCAAGAACAUCAUCUCAGACCUUCAAAAGAGAGAACCCAGGCCAUAAAUCGUCAUUCACCCUUCUCUUCUCACCUUUCCUCUCGUCCCUGGACACAUCAGUCCGUUUACGAGCCUCGAAACACCUAGUUCGAGAUCUCCGAUCAGAAAACGUUCUUCAUCAAAGUUGUUCGCCUAUGUCUCCUCUAUCUAGCCUCCAAAUUUCAGCUCCAUCGGAAUUGAUUUGAGACCUGUACACCCAUCGAAGCGGAAGCUGUUCCGGAGCAAGCCUGUUCCGGAUUUCUGCUUAAACUUCCUCUCUUGCUCUACCCGAAUCCCCAACACCUUGCUUGAGACUGAUACCAACAGUUGUCUCUGUUUCACUUUGCAUGUUCGAGACUGAGCAAACUUCUUGGCCUGUGGCUGGACUCGAUCCAAUCAGCUCCUUCAGCUCUCUUUCCUGUUGAAAUCCUCAAGAGAAGCUCAUCUUUUUUUGUUAGUUUUUGGAUCUUGUGAAGUGGUGGUUGCUACAAGGUUGCAUUGAGGCCAAGUGCUGCAAGAGAAAGCUCGAGUUCCAGGAGAGGUCAGUUCCUCCUUGAGCCACCGGUGGUGGGCAGUGUGCACCAUGCCCUUGUUAUCUCCCCUUUGUCUCUAGCCUUGUGAUUAAUGAAUUCCGGAAAGUGAUUGGCUAGAUGGACGGUUGUGAUGGAAGUGUGAAAGAUGAUCAAUUGCCGUGGGAUUGUAGUUACGUGGUGACGAUCACGUGGAAGCGCAAACCGGUUUUAUCUACUUCUUUUAUUCAAAACAAUAACUCAUGUUUUUAAACUUAGAUA
Long non-coding RNA from Rosa rugosa (rugosa rose), 930 nucleotides. RefSeq lists it as uncharacterized. Lineage: Eukaryota; Viridiplantae; Streptophyta; Magnoliopsida; Rosales; Rosaceae. The transcript has 4 exons. The record is from RefSeq and is a predicted model, not a curated record.